GCGCCCGUAGCUCAGCUGGAUAGAGCACCGGCCUCCGGAGCCGGGUGUCGGAGGUUCGAAUCCUCUCGGGCGCGCCA
RNAcentral lists this transfer RNA (77 nucleotides) under bacterium. Its description in RNAcentral is "tRNA-Arg". It matches the Rfam family "tRNA". Rfam says of the family: Transfer RNA (tRNA) molecules are approximately 80 nucleotides in length. Their secondary structure includes four short double-helical elements and three loops (D, anti-codon, and T loops). RNAcentral also lists the same sequence under 3 other names. The record is from RNAcentral.